RNAcentral lists this long non-coding RNA (354 nucleotides) under Rattus norvegicus (Norway rat). RNAcentral's name for it is "long non-coding RNA NONRATT013881". The record is from RNAcentral. Lineage: Eukaryota; Metazoa; Chordata; Mammalia; Rodentia; Muridae.
GGCCGGCGUCUACGAGACAACCCAGCACUUCAUGGACAUCAAGGAGCACCUGCACAUCGUGAAGAGAGAUAUCGACAGCCUCGCGCAGCGCAGCAUGUCAUCUAAUGAAAAACCAAAAUGCCCAGAUCUACCAGCAUUCCCGUCGUGUCUGUCCACAGUCCACUUUGUGAUAUUUAUAGUGGUGCAGACGGUGUUGUUCAUUGGCUACAUCAUGUACAGGACUCAGCAAGAAGCAGCUGCCAAAAAAUUCUUCUGACCUUCAUUUUCCUAUGUCUGGGCUAGACUUUCGCUGGCUUCAAGACAAUUUACCUCUUAUUAAAGUAAUGGUCUCGUUUGCUUUGGGAUCCAGAACAA